This 2289-nucleotide long non-coding RNA is filed under the name Equus caballus (horse). Its description in RNAcentral is "lncRNA (ENSECAG00000048282.1)". The record is from RNAcentral. Lineage: Eukaryota; Metazoa; Chordata; Mammalia; Perissodactyla; Equidae.
GGUUUAUACUGUCUGUAUUAACUUAUAGUGCUGAAGAGUAAAAAUAAUAGUUAAGAAUGAACAAGAUCUGAAAUCUUCCAGAAAGAUGAUGAUAAACGUGCUUUAGACAAUAGGGGGUGACACAGAGAGAGCACCUAAUUUGUAAAAUGAAGGCAUGAAUGCCUUGGUCUAGAAAUUGAAGUGCCAUACUUCAGAAAAAACCAUCAGCAGGGGUUUAGUUAGCCAGAAACCAUAUUCGACCUCAACGUCUUCUUUCCUGAACUUUCUGUUUAAUCAGGGAUUCUCCAUUUGUUGUGUUUAUAGGAAGUGGGAAGUUCAGAAGGCUCUGAACUGGCCAGGAUAAUUCUUUUUAAAAAUCUUCCCCACAAUUACACUGGAGCUGUUUAAGGGCUUUUUUCCUUCUGCUCAUUUUCAUGGCCUGAGAUAAUAGAUCAAAUGAAGGCUGGUGCUGGGGUGUUUGUGAAAGCGCAGCAGAAUGGGAUAAGGCAAGAACCAUGGCCUCCACCGCUGGGAAAUGGAUGCUUCUAUAUACCACGCAAUGGGUGGGCUUCCAAAGAGGUGUGUCAGAGCCGCGAAUGCUGCCGUGAGGGCUGUGCCCGACCUAAGGGGGCGUGAAAGGAAUCCACUGAGCACAUGAGAGGACUCUUUGCCUUGAGGUAAACUUUGGAGAAAUGAACACACUCGUCUAUUUCUGUAUGCUUUGGAAGCCAAUUUUGAAUUGCUUUAAGUGAAAAAUUUCCUGAUAGAAUGAAGACAAUGGUGGCUAAAGUUUGAUCUGACCUAACAGAUGUAGAAAUCUUACAGGCUAAUCCAACAAUAAUCUUGCCUCCAUUUUCUUUCAAAUGAACAACCCUAAAGAUGUACUUUUUAGUUUUACUAGAAGUCUUCCCUUAAACACUGCACGGGGUAAAGGGGCACGUAUGCAUGGUGACAGAUAAAAACUAGACUAUGGGUGGUGAGCACAAUGCAGUCUAUGCAGAAACUGAAAUAUAAUAACGUACACCUGAAAUUAUACACUGUUAUAAACCAUUAUGACCUCAAUAAAACAAUUAAAAAAAAAAAGAAGCCUUUUCAAGGAAAAGUUCGAGUGGAUUUUCAGCUACUCAGCCAAUUAUUCUAAUUGUAGUGAUUCUAAUUCUAAAACACGGAAUUUAUUCUCUAGCCGUUUGGUGGUGUGUAUGUGAUUUUUAAGAGCAUGUUAAUCUUAGAUCGCUCUGAGUGUUUUAGGAGAUGUGUGUUUCAGGAGAGGCACAGAGACAGCUUCCUUUUUGAGGAGAGGCAGGAUUCAUGCCUACAAAAGGAGCCUCACAGCCUGGAACAGUGAAAGCACAUUUUCAGGGCAUGCUGAGGCCUUUCCAUAUAGGGUUAGCAAGGAAUCGCUAAUUCCAGAGCUGCCAUUUGCGACACUCAACUAGAAGAUUGUCAGGUUUUAGAAAUCUUGCCUUUCUCAUAUUUCCCCAUGCCUAGCUUGAGAACAAUACUUAAUUACAGAAAGUGGUGAGUUUUAAGGACAUCAAUUUGGGGGAAGUUGGCUUCAGACUAUUUUUCAGUGGUGCUUGGUAAAAAUAAUUCAUUCAAGCAAAGAUCAGACUAGAAAAAUUACUUGAGGAGAAAAGAUAAGUCUGCCAUACAGAAGAAUUCCAAAUAAUUUCCAUAGAUGCUCUGCCCUCAAGGAGAUGGAGGGUAACUCCCCACCCGUUAAACGUGGGCGGCAUGUAGUAACUUCCUUUGAAAGGGUAUGAUCUGGAAAGCAGGCAAAAGAGCACUUUACAGUGGAAAAACCUGGCAAACACUCCCUCAGCCAGGUGAUCAGGGUCAACAUCAACAGUGAUAAGUGAUGUUGACAGCAUGGACCCUUGAUACGAUGAAAUGAAAAUGGCACUUGCCUCCCCAAAACCCUAACCCCUGUCUAAUGGUGAGAAAAACAUCAGACAAGUCCCAGCUGAGAGACAUUCUACGUAAUGCCUGACCAAUGCUCAUCAGAACUGUGAAGGUCAUCAAAAACAUGGACUGUCUGAGAAACUGUCACAGCCAAGAGGAGCCUAAGGAGAUGUGACAGCUAAACAUACUGUGGUAUCCUGGAUGCGAUCCUGGAACAGAAAAAGGACAUUAGGUAAAAAACUAAGGAAAUCUGAAUAAAAUAUGGACGUUAGUUAAUAAUAAUGUGUCAGUAUUGGUUCAUUAAUUGUAACAAAUAUACCAUCCUAAUGUAACAUAUAAUAAGAGGAACUGGAAGUGGGGUCUAUGGGCAAUCUUUGUACUAUAUACUCAAUUUUUCUAUAAAUGAUU